This 468-nucleotide ribosomal RNA is filed under the name uncultured bacterium. RNAcentral describes it as "partial 16S ribosomal RNA". It matches the Rfam family "Bacterial small subunit ribosomal RNA", at positions 28 to 507 of the family's 1533-position model. The record is from RNAcentral.
GACGAACGCUGGCGGCGUGCUUAACACAUGCAAGUCGAACGGAAAGGCCCUGCUUUUGUGUGGUGCUCGAUUGGCGAACGGGUGAGUAACACGUGAGUAACCUGCCCUUGACUUUGGGGUAACUUCAGGAAACUGGGGCUAAUACCGGAUAGGAGCUCCUGCUGCAUGUUGUGGGUUGGAAAGUUUCGGCGGUUGGGGAUGGACUCGCGGCUUAUCAGCUUGUUGGUGGGGUAGUGGCUUACCAAGGGUUUGACGGGUAGCCGGCCUUAGAGGGUGACCGGCCACAUGGGGACUGAGAUACGGACCAGACUCCUACGGGAGGCAGCAGUGGGGAAUAUUGCACAAUGGGCGGAAGCCUGAGGCAGCAACGCCGCGUGCGGGAUGACGGCCUUCGGGUUGUAAACCGCUUUCGCCUGUGACGAAGCGUGAGUGACGGUAAUGGGUAAAGAAGCACCGGCUAACUACGUG